GGGUAUGCUACAGGUUCAGUAUCGAGGUAGGUGCAGUUUCGAGAAGUAGCUUGCUACUUUGCCGGCGAGCGGCGGACGGGUGAGUAAUGUCUGGGAAACUGCCUGAUGGAGGGGGAUAACUACUGGAAACGGUAGCUAAUACCGCAUAACGUCGCAAGACCAAAGAGGGGGACCUUCGGGCCUCUUGCCAUCAGAUGUGCCCAGAUGGGAUUAGCUAGUAGGUGGGGUAACGGCUCACCUAGGCGACGAUCCCUAGCUGGUCUGAGAGGAUGACCAGCCACACUGGAACUGAGACACGGUCCAGACUCCUACGGGAGGCAGCAGUGGGGAAUAUUGCACAAUGGGCGCAAGCCUGAUGCAGCCAUGCCGCGUGUAUGAAGAAGGCCUUCGGGUUGUAAAGUACUUUCAGCGGGGAGGAAGGCGUUGAGGUUAAUAACCUCAGCGAUUGACGUUACCCGCAGAAGAAGCACCGGCUAACUCCGUGCCAGCAGCCGCGGUAAUACGGAGGGUGCAAGCGUUAAUCGGAAUUACUGGGCGUAAAGCGCACGCAGGCGGUCUGUCAAGUCGGAUGUGAAAUCCCCGGGCUCAACCUGGGAACUGCAUUCGAAACUGGCAGGCUAGAGUCUUGUAGAGGGGGGUAGAAUUCCAGGUGUAGCGGUGAAAUGCGUAGAGAUCUGGAGGAAUACCGGUGGCGAAGGCGGCCCCCUGGACAAAGACUGACGCUCAGGUGCGAAAGCGUGGGGAGCAAACAGGAUUAGAUACCCUGGUAGUCCACGCCGUAAACGAUGUCGACUUGGAGGUUGUGCCCUUGAGGCGUGGCUUCCGGAGCUAACGCGUUAAGUCGACCGCCUGGGGAGUACGGCCGCAAGGUUAAAACUCAAAUGAAUUGACGGGGGCCCGCACAAGCGGUGGAGCAUGUGGUUUAAUUCGAUGCAACGCGAAGAACCUUACCUACUCUUGACAUCCAGAGAACUUACCAGAGAUGCUUUGGUGCCUUCGGGACUCUGAGACAGUGCUGCAUGGCUGUCGUCAGCUCGUGUGUGAAAUGUGGGUUAAGUCCCGCAACGAGCCGCAACCUUUAUCCUUUUGUUGCCAGCGGUUCGGCCGAGAACUCAAAGGAGACUGCCAGGUGAUUA
This 1136-nucleotide ribosomal RNA is filed under the name Enterobacter sp. Its description in RNAcentral is "bacterial SSU rRNA". It matches the Rfam family "Bacterial small subunit ribosomal RNA", at positions 1 to 1161 of the family's 1533-position model. The record is from RNAcentral. Lineage: Bacteria; Pseudomonadati; Pseudomonadota; Gammaproteobacteria; Enterobacterales; Enterobacteriaceae.